AAAAAAAAAAAAAAAAAAAAAAAAAAAAAAAAAAAAAACGUGCGCAAAAAAAAAAAAAAAAAAAAAAAAAAAAAAAAAAAAAAAAAACAA
Molecule: long non-coding RNA, 90 nt
Organism: Drosophila gunungcola (fruit fly)
Lineage: Eukaryota; Metazoa; Arthropoda; Insecta; Diptera; Drosophilidae
Exons: 2
Source: RefSeq, a predicted model, not a curated record